Molecule: non-coding RNA, 45 nt
Organism: Schistosoma mansoni
Lineage: Eukaryota; Metazoa; Platyhelminthes; Trematoda; Strigeidida; Schistosomatidae
Source: Rfam
AUCCAGCUGACGAGUCCCAGAUAAGACGAGACGCACGUCCUAGAU